UUUUCAGUUCUGUGCGUUACGGAGUAUAGCACAGAACGUAUGUCUAAACAUAACGCAACGCACAAAACAGGUAUAUGUGCGGUUCGUUCAUGCGUGUGGUUGUCACGUGAGUGAUGGUCACUCAGGUGGACAUAGGCGGGAAUUUGCACGGGGUGUUCAUUGUUUGGUCAGUUCUACGCUAGACUUCGAUCAGUAAACUUUUACUUUUUUAAAUUCGAACCGCAUUAGUAGUAAAUUGGCUCAAAUGACAUGUUAUGUUUGUGUUACAUAAUGUUUAGUUACAUGUUAAUAUUGGUUGUUUUCAGGUACAGUUUUUUCAGAGUUAUUUUACAUUGGGCUUCUGAUGAAUUUUUAUCUCUGGUUUUUACCCUGGCCUUGAAAACACCAAUUAAGGACACAAUACUAGAAAUGAUGUAUACACAUUAUAGUUAUAAUUUGUUAUAUAAUUUAUAGAUCGAAAAUUGUCCUGUCAAGGUUGUACUACGAUUGUACUUGAUUGCUAUAUGAUACGAAUAUGAAAUAUUCGUGGAUGUGUGUUGUCAAUAAACUGAUCGCAAGCCUUGCCCAAUGCAAAA
Molecule: long non-coding RNA, 575 nt
Organism: Dreissena polymorpha
Lineage: Eukaryota; Metazoa; Mollusca; Bivalvia; Myida; Dreissenidae
Exons: 2
Source: RefSeq, a predicted model, not a curated record